RNAcentral lists this long non-coding RNA (1983 nucleotides) under Mus musculus (house mouse). RNAcentral's name for it is "long non-coding RNA chrX:136796888-136798871". Lineage: Eukaryota; Metazoa; Chordata; Mammalia; Rodentia; Muridae. The record is from RNAcentral.
AUUGGUGAAGGUCAAAGAAACUAAGUUGUCAUGAAUAUUUCCAGAGGAAUGCUUCUUCAUUUCUUUUUUUUUUUUUUUAAACUUUAUUUCCUCGUCUUGUUAUGGAAGGAGCAAGUGGCUCUAUGUGCUACAAAGAGCUGAGUGGCCACCACACAUGGUGCGGCAUUUCUCUUAGGCUGUAGAAUCUUUCUUUUGAGAUUUAGGGAAGAAAAAUGGUCAGGGUUCAUCUUCAUCACCAGGACUAUUGAAUUUUGAUACAAGUUAGCAUUGGGGGCCCUCAGCAACUUCGCAAGAGAAAUCCUUGGAGAUGCUGUCUGACAGAAGCCUGCCAUUCCUUACCUCAGUCUUCCCUUUGUUCUCUCUGGUGUUUCCCCCUUUCAGUUUUCAUAUAUCCCCAGAACUGGCUUAAUUUUAGCCAAGUAUUGAAAUCGUCCCAGGAAAGGCAGAGCAGCCAGCCUCUGCUCUUCACUGUCAACUGAGUUGAAGACUGAGGAAGCCUGGAGGCUUACUGGUUGCCAUGGUGAAGAGUGGGCCCUGAGAGUAUUAAGAAGCUGGGAGCUAGAGCUUUUUUGUUUGUUGGUUUUGAUUAGUUCUGUUUGCUUUAUACCCCGACUUCUCCUUCUUUUUCUCCUCCCCUGCCCCCUACCCCUCCAGAGUCUCAAAUCACUAAAGCAGGAGAUUACUAGGGGCAAAAUCAGGUCCCAGGCUACAUUAAACCCAGGCUGCCCUGCUGAGGAUAAUUGCAGUGCAUUUGGCAAUGCAGACUCUUGGGAGGGCCAAGUUUGGAAUUUAAGUUGUUAUACCUUUGUGCAGGCAUGGUGCAGCAUCCUGAGACAGAAAAGGACUCCUGUGGAAAAAGAGAGACAGCUCUGUUCUGGAACUUUUGGCCUGUGUUUUCAUAGCCCAAGGGAUUUGGGCUUUUGUUUUGUUUUGACAGCUCCUAGCAUCUAGUCCACACAAUUUUCCUCAAUUAACUCUCUUCUCUCCCACUGCUGACCAGGUAGAACAUAUUUGUAGAGAAAGUGUGGGUUCUGGAAGAACCAUGCACAUAUUAUGUAAUAAUUAUUGUUAUCCCUAUUAUUAUUUCAUAAAUAAUUCUCCUCACUUCAAUCCGUGUUUCUGAAAAAGGGAGACAGCUGACUCAGGAAGAUUUUUGUGGACUGGACUGCAGUGAAAACUGACCUCGCUUCCUUUUUAAUUGGUACCCUGGGGCUGAAGGAGGAGCAUUAUGAAGGGAAGGAAACCCUGGGCACACAGCAAAGGCGGAUCAUGGCAUAUGUAGGAGUUGCAGUGUCUCUGCUCUCUUGCAUUCAGUGCUAAUUGCAUAAUGCUACCUGGACUGGAUGAGUAUGGAAGAGCAAAAAUCUCAAGAACCUCAUAUCCUUCGUCCAGCCAUUUUUUCCAUCCAUAGAAUGCAUAGGGAACGGGCAUUCUUUUUUAACUCUCCAAAUGUGGAUUCUCAGCUUCCAAGUUCCUUUUUUCAUUUGCACCUAUUUGUGAAUUUGUGACUAUAUAAUCUCAAAUCCUUUUCUUGUAUCCAUGUUUAUUAUCCCUAAUAGAUGGCCUGAUUCCUGGAGGCAGGUUUUGUACUAUCAAAUCUAUCAGAAUAUCUCUUGAGGGAUCUAAAUAGCAUAGGGAAUAUGUCUUACCUUACUGCUUAUAGUUUGUGAGGCACAGGGAAGGCCUGUGCUGCAUAUAAUGUGUGAUAUUAGAAAAAUGUGUUUAUUACAUCGAUAAAAUAAGGCUAAAUGCUUAUCACUUGCUAGAUGUAAAAUAAAUACUAGAAAUAAUGAAGACUUUAACAUGAGAGGCAAAAGUGUACAAUUUUUUAGUAGAAAAUGUAUGUGAAUUUCUUUUCUGUUAAGGUUUAGAGGUUUUCCUUAGUGUGGAAGGCACAACCCAUUAAGGAGAAGGGGAUGAAUUUUUUUUUACUGUAGUCUGUUAAAAGUAAAUAUCUCUGCUCCACUGAGGAAAUAAAUAGGC